GAUGAACGCUGGCGGCGUGCCUAAUACAUGCAAGUCGAGCGAACAGAUGAGGAGCUUGCUCCUCUGACGUUAGCGGCGGACGGGUGAGUAACACGUGGAUAACCUACCUAUAAGACUGGGAUAACUUCGGGAAACCGGAGCUAAUACCGGAUAAUAUAUUGAACCGCAUGGUUCAAUAGUGAAAGACGGUUUUGCUGUCACUUAUAGAUGGAUCCGCGCCGCAUUAGCUAGUUGGUAAGGUAACGGCUUACCAAGGCAACGAUGCGUAGCCGACCUGAGAGGGUGAUCGGCCACACUGGAACUGAGAAACGGUCCAGACUCCUAGGGGAGGCAGAAGUAGGGAAUCUUCCGCAAUGGGCGAAAGCCUGAAGGAGCAACGCCGCGUGAGUGAUGAAGGUCUUCGGAUCGUAAAACUCUGUUAUUAGGGAAGAACAAAUGUGUAAGUAACUAUGCACGUCUUGACGGUACCUAAUCAGAAAGCCACGGCUAACUACGUG
This 497-nucleotide ribosomal RNA is filed under the name uncultured bacterium. RNAcentral's name for it is "partial 16S ribosomal RNA". It matches the Rfam family "Bacterial small subunit ribosomal RNA", at positions 28 to 507 of the family's 1533-position model. The record is from RNAcentral.